Long non-coding RNA from Felis catus (domestic cat), 2684 nucleotides. RefSeq lists it as uncharacterized. NCBI's taxonomy places the organism in Eukaryota, Metazoa, Chordata, Mammalia, Carnivora, Felidae. The record is from RefSeq and is a predicted model, not a curated record. The transcript is spliced from 5 exons.
AAAUCCCAGAAUGCACGGCGCUGCAACUCUUCGCGCGCGCCUAAGAGGAGGGACCUCACGGAGGGAGUGGAGCGUGCGAGCUGAGGGCGGGGAAGCGCUGUGGUGGGCGGAGUCCUGCCACCUGCUCUUGCCACCCUUAAACUCUCUGGGUCUCGGGCAACGCUGAAAACAGGAAAACGAGACGGCGUAUUUUGCUCGCGAAAGUUCUCUGUCUUUGGUUUUACUUACCCGCCUCCGGCCCAGGGCUAACUUUCCCCACCUACCCGGGGAGGGUCAAGGUGACUCCAGAUUUUACAAUUAGAGACUCACAAACUUCCAGGGCUGGGAGGUUGCUGCCUCGCGCAGACAUGUCCCGAUCUGUUCCAAGUUCUUAGCUGCCCAGGUGUUGGAGUCGCCCUGUUGCACCGCCAAUAAUGAAUCGAGACUCUUGUGUUUAAAUGAAGGAGGAAUACGCUUUCUCUCGCGGGGACGUGAACUCGGUUAGCAGAAUGAAAAAGACCACUUGAACUAUCACACAGGAGCAUUGCGCGCCUUUCCUGAAUGUUGCGAUGGGUGCUUUAAUUGCUGUUAACUCUUAACAGUGCAGCACUAGCUAGAUACGGGGCAAACCUCAAAAAGGCACUGUUUGUAGGAACACUUUCUGAACUCGAUCCAAUUGUCCAUCAGUGUCCAGCAAGGAACUUGUGGCCCCAGCAAACUGACGGAGACGUUAGAGAAGAUAGACAAAGGAUGGAAGUUGAUAUGGGCUCCUGGAAUUUCAGGUCUGCUUAGCAAGAGCUGAAGAGAAAGUUGACCGGCCCAUAAAAGAAAAAUGAUUCAGAAAGUCCCGAGCAAGUGAAACCCGGAAACGUGCUACACUUGUGUCUGGCAGCCUCAUGCCCUGGAGCCACAAAACACAGAGCCUCCAUGCAGUAGGUGAAGAGAACUCUGAAGAGAUGUCACCUCAUUUCUCCCCAGCUCUUGCUCAGUCAAAAAGGACAUGGGAUAUCUGAAAGCAGAAGCAGGAAGACUAUUCUCAGGUGUUCUGGGGAAUGGGUGUGCUGGAUGAAGCUGGAGGCUGGAAAGAAUGGAAUGAAGACUGAAACUCCAGAGCUGGUCCCCUUUAAAAAUACAUAAAUAGGUAUUCUGAGCCAUUUGUCUACUCUGUUCAGAUCACUCAUUUGUGCCUGGUUCCACCUUCCUGCACAAAGAUGUGAGGGCUUUGUGGUAAAGACUGGAGGUGGUGAAGUGGGGGAAAGCUUAACGCAGGACAGUGACAGGUGCUGAAAGCAGGUAUGUCCCUUGCUCAAGAGCCUUAGCUCAGCGAUUCCCUUCCAAGGGUAAGGGUGCAGAGUGAAGUGAUGAGGAGUGGUGUCAAAGUAGGUGGGAGAGGGAAAGGCCAGUAUGUGCACUCACGGUUUUCAGCCUAUUCACCCUCAUUCCACAAGUCUUGAUGGAAUUGACUACGUGCCAGACCUUGUUUACAAUCAGGUCCUGGAAUUUACAGUGGCAGAUGAGACAGAUAUGGUUCCAGCCCUUCCGAAGUAGUGGGGAAGAUCAGAAAGAAGCUAACACUUAAAUAAAGUAAUUGCAAAUUAUGGUAAGUGAUGGUAGGAAUAAGAGUGGGCUAUUACAGAGAAUAAUCAGGAGGGGGGAUGGGACAGGACCAUUUAUUUUGAAUGGAAUAAUCAGAGAAGUCUUCUUUGGGAAAGAUAAUGAACAUGAAGGAUAAGGAAGCCAAGGGAGAAUUCCAGGCAGAGGGAACGGAGCGUGCGAAUGUCUUGAAGCUGAGGUCAGCUCAGGCAAACUGAAAUGGCUAAGCUGCUCUUGGUGGGGGCCCCAGACUUCCAGCCUGCACUGCUUUCUCUAGGAGUUCCCCCUGCCCCAGGCCCAGUGCCUUCAGUGCUUUGCUCCAUCCAGUCAUGCUCCUGUGAUAGCCUGAGAACCCCCUUUGCAGGAUCUACAAUUCAUCUGGGGUCUCAGCCUUCAGCUAUAGCUCUGAGCCAGAGCAGCUUCAUCAAGAAAAGGGGGACACUUAGGGACAUGGGCUCCCUUCUCUCUAUUUUAGGAUAAACAGACCUUACUAAAGCUUAGCGUUACAAAUUACUUAGGUCUUCUGGGCUCAAAUCCUGGCUCUGCCACUUGGAAGCUUUAAGUAUAACGUGUUACUUAACUGCUCUGUGCCUCAACCCCCUUAUCUGUAAACUAGGUCUUAAAAAUGUAUCUAUCUCAUAGAAUGGUUAGUAGAUUUAAUUGGUUCAGGCCGGCUAAGUGCUUAGGUCAGUACCUGGCUUAUCAACAUUCGACAAUCAUGUUAUUAUCAUUAUCAUACUUCAGCUCUUGUACCCCACUGCCACCUGGAAUGGCAGUGAAGGUGUGUGAUGCAUUCCCCAGAGGCUGGGCUCCUGGGAAUCAAGCUGUAUGUAGCCCUCUCCUAUAAUUCAAUCCAGAUCAUUUUUAUACCAGGCACUGUACUGGACACUUGGCUACAUCAUUUCCUUGAUCCUUCCAACAGUCGUAAGAAGCAGGUAUUACCCUUAUUUUACAGAUGCAGGAACUCAGGUUUAAAGAGGUUACCCAGCUUACCCAACACCACAAAGCUACUGUGGGUCCUAGGUCCACUGCUGCGAUCUGACUCAGUAGGCCUGGGUAAAUCAUUGGGAUCUGCAUUACAAAUACCUACCCCAACCUUCCCAGUUUUGAUG